GGGCUGCGGGCGGAAGGGGACGGGGGCGGUGGUGCGGCUCGCCUCAGGGCGGCGGGAAGAGCCGCCCCCGGCGCGGCGGGGCCGCAGGUAAAUAAAUAGCGACGCGGGUGUUACUCGUAGCUCUCAGCCCCGAGCCCGCCUUCUUCCUUAGUUCUGUUUUCCAGUUCUGGUGUUGCCUUUUUUCUCCUCAGGGAUUGCUUCCCCUCGUUGCCCCGACCUGUAGUUCAAGCUGUGGAAGCUGCGUACCAAGACGGGCACCCAGCUUACCAGAAAGUACCGUGUUUAAUGCUGGAAACUUGACAGCCUGGCCUGUGUGUGAGGGCCAGGACACGCUGCCCCCUGCCUGUGGCUGCAGGACUGCUGAAUCCCUCUGGGAUAGGUGUUUUCCCAUCUGGAUGAAAAAGUCCCCUCCUUUCGCAAUAAAUCCUAUCUUGCUAGGCAAAGUAGUUUUAAAACAUCACUGCUGAUAAACGAGGGCUGUUUGAAGUCUUGCCUUGUUUGUUAUGUGUUUGCAUGCUAGAUAGUGUAAUGGGUUUCUGAUUCAUGGCUGAGGCCCGAGUGCUGCUGCAAUAUCACCAUAAAUAAAACAUGGAGCUGGAUGAAGUCUGAGCUUCCUUGCUUGCUUCCUGCUUUAAACUCUCAAGGUCACCUGGAAGGCAGCAGCACACUUCCCCCUGCUAUUUCCCUGCCUGCUGUUUCCUGAUUCUGAGGCCAUCUUGGUCACAAACUAGGAAACUUGAAGAUACAAGAUACUUAUGUUAGAUACAGCUUCAGUGUCUUAAAUGUGUGUGACAUAGGUGAUGAUAUUUACCCAUUUCUCUAAAAUUUUUACAGAAUCUCAGUGGAGAAGGAUGGUUCAAAACACUGGAGCUGGAUGAUCCUGAGGUUUUGAGCAGAAAAUGCUUGAAAACACUGAAAAUAAUGGUCUCGUCUCCUCAGGAGCAAGCAAAGGCAUUAAGCCAUAGUUUCACAAAUGAGUGAAGAGGACUGCCUGAUGCGCCUGAGAUCACAAAAGUGCAAGAACUGGCAGCAGUGACAGAAACUGAGUUUCCCACCUCUCGAAUCUAGAAAUAAUACAGUAAAAUGGAAUGUGUAAUGGAUGUGUAAGAGCAUUUUGGAGAACUGCCUGUGAUGUAACAGCUGGCUGAGCCAUACCCACUGCUUCCAGUGCACCUCUGACUGUAGCCCUGGCAAUUCCAUCCUAUCAACCCCGAGUGCUCCCUCUGUAGAUCUGUGUGAGGGCUGGAUCUUGCAGCCUGGAUCUCCUCUGUUCGGCAGGGGCCAUAACUGCCUGUGUCUAAUGUCUGUAGUGUGACCUGUUUAUACUUAAGGACAUUUUCUCAUUAAACACAAGUAGCUGCAAGUUUCUCCUUAACAAGAAUAUUCAAUUUAAAUACAAGUAAACAGGAGCAAAGCAGGCUGAUUUUAGAGCUAGUCAGCCCACACAUUGAUUUAAUCAGGAAUCAGUUCAUGCACAGAGGCAACCUUAGGUUGCCAACAACUUGUAGUGCAGUCACAGCAAAUCUGCAUAGUCCAAACACUUUGAAGACUUGCACACAGGUGUAAAUAGGAUAAGCACUGAAAGGUUUGUGGAAGAUAGAGCAACACAGGGAAAUUGUAAAGGAGCAAGUUUCAAGCAAGAAACUACUUUUCCUGCAGCACUGGUACCCCUUCAAGAAUCAGCCUUAAGAGGAGACAAAAAGGCUGCAGAGACUUACAAUUCCAGCAUUAAUUCAUUCCUGCCCAUGGGAAUGAAGUAAAUGCAACAGGGGUAUGUAACACACUCAGUGUCACAUGUAUCUGCUCUCCUGAGGAUCCCAGAUGCCAUUAUAAGCCAUUCAGAAGAGGGCCACCUUAUGGGCAUGAAUAACCCAGCAUGAUCUUAAAGAGGAAGUCUCCAGCAAGAUGUAUUAACGUGUGGAUAAGAUUAAAAUUUGUGAUUUUUGAAGUCAACAGUGAAGGCUGACGGACACAAUAACUGGCUAGCUGCAGGCAGGAAGCAAGCACUAUCAAUCUCAUCAUAUGAGUGCUGGCAUCUCGGAGAGCUGUGAAGUAACUCCACCAGUUGGGCUGGAUCCCUGUUCUAAUCACCCAUCCAUAACCAAAGACAAGAUGUUUUUUUUGCUGGGAAUUAUUGGAGAGCCUAUGAAUCUGCUAGGCAACAGUAAUUAAUUGGAGACACUUGAAACUGAGGAAUCCCUGGUGUGAG
Molecule: RNA transcript, 2209 nt
Organism: Apus apus (common swift)
Lineage: Eukaryota; Metazoa; Chordata; Aves; Apodiformes; Apodidae
Exons: 6
Source: RefSeq, a predicted model, not a curated record